GGGCGGAGGCCGGAGGAGCCGCCGAGCGGAGACCCGGGCGCGGGAGCUGGGCCUAGGUCGGCGCCCUGGCAGCCGUGUCUGUGUUUUUGUCUCGCAGAAUUAGAGCCCAUUGGGAACGAUGCCACCACCGUCAGACAUUGUCAAAGUGGCCAUUGAGUGGCCAGGUGCUAACGCCCAGCUCCUUGAAAUCGACCAGAAACGGCCCCUGGCAUCCAUUAUCAAGGAAGUUUGUGAUGGGUGGUCGUUGCCAAACCCAGAGUAUUAUACCCUCCGUUACGCAGAUGGUCCUCAGCUGUACAUCACCGAACAGACUCGCAGUGACAUUAAGAAUGGGACAAUCUUACAACUGGCUAUCUCCCCGUCCCGGGCUGCACGCCAGCUGAUGGAGAGGACCCAGUCAUCCAACAUGGAGACCCGGCUGGAUGCCAUGAAGGAGCUGGCCAAGCUCUCUGCCGACGUGACUUUCGCUACUGAGUUCAUCAACAUGGAUGGCAUCAUUGUGCUGACAAGGCUCGUGGAAAGUGGAACCAAGCUCUUGUCCCACUACAGUGAGAUGCUCGCAUUCACCCUGACUGCCUUCCUAGAGCUCAUGGACCAUGGCAUUGUCUCCUGGGACAUGGUUUCAAUCACCUUUAUUAAGCAGAUUGCAGGGUAUGUGAGCCAGCCCAUGGUGGACGUGUCAAUCCUUCAGAGGUCCCUGGCCAUCCUGGAGAGCAUGGUCUUGAACAGCCAGAGUCUGUACCAGAAGAUAGCUGAGGAAAUCACCGUGGGACAGCUCAUCUCACACCUCCAGGUCUCCAACCAGGAGAUUCAGACCUACGCCAUUGCACUGAUUAAUGCACUUUUUCUGAAGGCUCCUGAGGACAAACGACAG
RNAcentral lists this small RNA (874 nucleotides) under Pongo abelii (Sumatran orangutan). Its description in RNAcentral is "processed transcript". Lineage: Eukaryota; Metazoa; Chordata; Mammalia; Primates; Hominidae. The record is from RNAcentral.